CCUACGGGUGGCUGCAGUGGGGAAUAUUGCACAAUGGGGGAAACCCUGAUCCAGCGACGUCGCGUGAAGGAAGAAGUAUUUCGGUAUGUAAACUUCUAUCAGCAGGGAAGAAAAUGACGGUACCUGACUAAGCAGCGCCGGAUAACUACGUGCCAGCAUCCGCUGUAAUCCGUCGGGGGCAAGCGUUAUCCGGAUUUACUGGGGGUAAAGGGAGCGUAGGCGGGUUAGCAAGUCAGAAGUGAAAGCCUGGGGUUCAACUCCGGAACUGCUUUUGAAACUGUUGAACUAGAUUGCAGGAGAGGUAAGUGGAAUGCCUAGUGUAGCGGUGAAAUGCGUAGAUAUUAGGAGGAACACCAGUGGCGAAGGCGGCUUACUGGACUGUAAAUGACGCUGAGGCUCGAAAGCGUGGGGAGCAAACAGGAUUAGAUACCCGAGUAGUC
This 440-nucleotide ribosomal RNA is filed under the name uncultured bacterium. Its description in RNAcentral is "partial 16S ribosomal RNA". It matches the Rfam family "Bacterial small subunit ribosomal RNA", at positions 338 to 795 of the family's 1533-position model. The record is from RNAcentral.